RNAcentral lists this ribosomal RNA (490 nucleotides) under uncultured bacterium. Its description in RNAcentral is "partial 16S ribosomal RNA". It matches the Rfam family "Bacterial small subunit ribosomal RNA", at positions 28 to 507 of the family's 1533-position model. The record is from RNAcentral.
GAUGAACGCUAGCGAUAGGCUUAACACAUGCAAGUCGAGGGGCAGCAUGGUCUUAGCUUGCUAAGACUGAUGGCGACCGGCGCACGGGUGCGUAACGCGUAUGCAACUUGCCUCACAGAGGGGGAUAACCCGUCGAAAGACGGACUAAUACCGCGUACACUUGGGAUAGGGCAUCCUGACCCAAGGAAAUGAAAUUCGCUGUGAGAUAGGCAUGCGUCCCAUUAGCUAGUUGGUGAGGUAACGGCUCACCAAGGCGACGAUGGGUAGGGGAACUGAGAGGUUGAACCCCAACACUGGUACUGAGACACGGACCAGACUCCUACGGGAGGCAGCAGUGAGGAAUAUUGGUCAAUGGGCGAGAGCCUGAACCAGCCAAGUCGCGUGAAGGAUGACUGUCUUAUGGAUUGUAAACUUCUUUUAUACGGGAAUAACAAGAGUCACGUGUGGCUCCCUGCAUGUACCGUAUGAAUAAGCAUCGGCUAACUCCGUG